GGAAGGAUCAUUAUAGAGUUCGUGCCCUCACGGGUAGACCUCCCACCCUUGAAUAACUUACCUUUGUUGCUUUGGCGGGCCGCCUCGGCUACCGGCUUCUGCUGGUAAGUGCCCGCCAAAGGACCCCUAAACUCUGAAAUCAGGUGUCGUCUGAGUACUAUAUAAUAGUUAAAACUUUCAACAACGGAUCUCUUGGUUCUGGCAUCGAUGAAGAACGCAGCGAAAUGCGAUAAGUAAUGUGAAUUGCAGAAUUCAGUGAAUCAUCGAAUCUUUGAACGCACAUUGCGCCCCUUGGUAUUCCGGGGGGCAUGCCUGUUCGAGCGUCAUAAUAACCCUCAAGCCUUGCUUGGUGUUGGGGCCUACCGCCCGGUAGCCCUUAAAAACAGUGGCGGUACCAUCUGGUCUUAAGCGUAGUGAUUUUUCUCGCUAUAAGAGCAGGUGGAUACUAGCCAACAACCCCCAAUUUUCUAUGGUUUGACCUCGGAUCAGGUAGGGAUACCCGCUGAACUUAAGCAUAUCAAUAAGCGGAGGAAAAGAAACCAACAGGGAUUGCCUCAGUAACGGCGAGUGAAGCGGCAACAGCUCAAAUUUGAAAUCUGGCUCUUUCGGGGUCCGAGUUGUAAUUUGUAGAAGAUGCUUUGGGUGUGGUACCGGUCUAAGUUCCUUGGAACAGGACGUCGCAGAGGGUGAGAAUCCCGUACGUGACUGGUGGCCUUCGCCCGUGUAAAGCUCUUUCGACGAGUCGAGUUGUUUGGGAAUGCAGCUCAAAAUGGGUGGUAUAUUUCAUCUAAAGCUAAAUAUUGGCCAGAGACCGAUAGCGCACAAGUAGAGUGAUCGAAAGAUGAAAAGCACUUUGGAAAGAGAGUUAAACAGUACGUGAAAUUGUUGAAAGGGAAGCGCUUGCAAUCAGACUUGCGCGUGGCCGAUCAUCCGGUGUUCUCACCGGUGCACUCGGUCGCGCUCAGGCCAGCAUCGGUUUCGGUGGUUGGAUAAAGGCCCUAGGAAUGUGGCUCCUCUCGGGGAGUGUUAUAGCCUAGGGUGCAAUGCAGCCUACCGGGACCGAGGACCGCGCUUCGGCUAGGAUGCUGGCGUAAUGGUUGUAAGCGGCCCGUCUUGAAACACGGACCAAGGAGUCUAACAUCUAUGCGAGUGUUUGGGUGUCAAACCCAUACGCGUAAUGAAAGUGAACGGAGGUAGGAACUCUUAAGAGUGCACUAUCGACCGAUCCUGAUGUCUUCGGAUGGAUUUGAGUAAGAGCAUAGCUGUUGGGACCCGAAAGAUGGUGAACUAUGCGUGAAUAGGGUGAAGCCAGAGGAAACUCUGGUGGAGGCUCGCAGCGGUUCUGACGUGCAAAUCGAUCGUCAAAUUUGCGCAUAGGGGCGAAAGACUAAUCGAACCAUUGGGGUACUAGGUGGUUGAGAGGCAACCUAAAGCGUCGUCUAGUUCUCUACAGAACGACACUAUCAAAUUGUUCGGGGACGUCCUGUUUUAAAUUCUAGACUACCGCAGCUCGUCGAAAGGCGGGUGCGCACCGGGUUAAUGUCCUUGGGUAUGGUAAUAACGUCUAGAUAGGGAUUAUCCGCAGCCAAGUCCUAAGGGUGUCUUUACCUAUGGAUGCAGUUCACAGACUAAAUGUUAGUGGGCAUAGCUUUGCUAUGCUUAAGUUAUAGUCGAUCCACCGGGAGACCGGGUUAGUGAUAUCUCCGGACACUUUUGUGACCGAGGAUAUGCUAUGAUGCCUACCUGUUAGGGAAUAACAGGUAAGCAAAGGGGGAAUCUAUUUUGAUUCCAGAUGCUAGUAGCUGGUUCCUGC
RNAcentral lists this unclassified non-coding RNA (1813 nucleotides) under uncultured fungus. RNAcentral describes it as "sequence contains 18S rRNA gene, ITS1, 5.8S rRNA gene, ITS2, 28S rRNA gene". The stretch from base 476 to 1813 matches the Rfam family "Eukaryotic large subunit ribosomal RNA", at positions 1 to 1641 of the family's 3401-position model. The record is from RNAcentral. Lineage: Eukaryota; Fungi.